This is a long non-coding RNA of Felis catus (domestic cat), 1366 nucleotides long. RefSeq lists it as uncharacterized. The record is from RefSeq and is a predicted model, not a curated record. NCBI's taxonomy places the organism in Eukaryota, Metazoa, Chordata, Mammalia, Carnivora, Felidae. The transcript is spliced from 2 exons.
GCUCGAACUCACGGACCGCGAGAUCGUGACCUGAGCUGAAGUCGGACGCUUAACCGACUGAGCCACCCAGGCGCCCCCCCCCCACUUUGGGUCUUUAAAUGAAGGCACGAAGGGCACGGCCGUGAGGAGAGGCACAGCGGUAGGCCCGCCGAGGCUCUAGGCUGAGACAACAGAAGCUCUCGGCGCAUCAAGCAAAGGUAAAGGACACGUGUAUUCAGGAGGAAAAAAAAAGAAAUAGCGAUUCUCUGGCACUUUCUUCUUCUAGCAAGCCUUCGCUUCUAAGUCGGGAUGUGGGUCUCUGCAUUUUACUUCCAGCGUCUGCAAGAGGCUUUGGUGCUUUGUUUCUGUUGGCGUGCUACCUGCCCCCCCCCCCUUCCUGCCCGGAAGGUAAGGGCUGGGAAGCUGCAGGGACCCUUUGUAGUCAAAGUGGGGGUCCGGGCCAGCCGCACCGGCGUCUCCUGGGAGCUCGUUAGCAAAGCAGUCUCAGACCCCACCCCCGACCCACGGCAUUAGACUCGGCCUUUUUCGUUCGUUCCGCAGGUGUUUCCGGUACACGUUGGAUAAGUCACACCCCGAGGCGGGUGUGCUCCGGCCACCAGCAGGCACCAACACUGAUCGCAGCGAAUGAUGCAUGGCUUACCGAAAUGGCCGAGUGACAUCCACUGCUGUGUCUCAACAGUGAGUCGACUUCAGGGAAACGUCCAGUGUACGUGGAUAGUAAGGCGUGCUCCGAUACGAUGAUGCCUCCCAGGAGGGAAUGAGGUGACUGUUCCCAGGAGGGCCGAUCCGGCCCGGCCCUCAAGGCGGGUGGUGGCGAGGACACAGCCGCACACAGAGAGAGGGGACUUUGCCAAGGUCACGCAGGGGAACUGUGGCGGAGGCAAGACUGGAGCCCAAGGCUGUAGCCACAGGUCACUGGGGUGCCCCUUCCCCCUUUAAGCCAACUGCCCAGCGGCAGACCCGAGCCCAAAGCGGGAGCUCUGGCCACAGUGGCCUCGGGAACUGGGGCAUUUGCAGGUGACAUUAGGCAAAUCAGCGGCGUAAAUGGCUGUUACUGAAAAUGAAGGUAUCAUGUGGCCUGGGGAGGCCAAGGGUGAGUCAUUUCAAGAUGAGCUGUCUCCCUCCACCCAGGGACCACGGGGCACCCAGUUCUUCCCUCAUGAAUAAACACUUUAAGCUGUUCUGCGUAGGCUGAGAAGCCCAAUGUGUUCUCAGUGUCGUCUGGUGAAGUUUUGCAAGUAGGAAACCCGAGCAAGUGGGGAAGGAGUUGGUCACUGAUCUUCAGCCUGGCUUGCGGAAGUCGGCUCAGAUUUCUGGGAUAAGGACAUUCAGCUGUGUCACCAAAUAAAAACAAAACAAAACAAAA